RNAcentral lists this ribosomal RNA (506 nucleotides) under uncultured bacterium. Its description in RNAcentral is "partial 16S ribosomal RNA". It matches the Rfam family "Bacterial small subunit ribosomal RNA", at positions 28 to 523 of the family's 1533-position model. The record is from RNAcentral.
GAUGAACGCUAGCGGCAGGCCUAACACAUGCAAGUCGAGGGGCAGCACAUAAAGUGGUUUACUACUUUUGGUGGCGACCGGCGGACGGGUGCGUAACGCGUAUGCAACCUGCCUCCAGCAGGGGGAUAACGGAGAGAAAUUUCCACUAAUACCCCAUAAUAUCAGAAUCGGCAUCGGUUUUGGUUGAAAACUCCGGUGGUUGGAGAUGGGCAUGCGUGGUAUUAGAUAGUUGGUGAGGUAACGGCUCACCAAGUCAACGAUACAUAGGGGGACUGAGAGGUUAGCCCCCCACACUGGUACUGAGACACGGACCAGACUCCCACGGGAGGCAGCAGUGAGGAAUAUUGGUCAAUGGGGGCAACCCUGAACCAGCCAUGCCGCGUGCAGGAAGACGGCUCUAUGAGUUGUAAACUGCUUUUACAAGGGGAUAAAUCGGUGUACGUGUACACCGUUGAAGGUACCUUGGGAAUAAGGAUCGGCUAUCUCCGUGCCAGCCGCCGCCGUAA